RNAcentral lists this ribosomal RNA (548 nucleotides) under uncultured bacterium. RNAcentral describes it as "bacterial SSU rRNA". It matches the Rfam family "Bacterial small subunit ribosomal RNA", at positions 355 to 895 of the family's 1533-position model. The record is from RNAcentral.
UAGGGAAUCUUCGGCGAUGGGGGCAACCCUGACCGAGCAACGCCGCGUGAGUGAAGAAGGUUUUCGGAUCGUAAAGCUCUGUUGUAAGUCAAGAACGAGUGUGAGAGUGGAAAGUUCACACUGUGACGGUAGCUUACCAGAAAAGGACGGCUAACUACGUGCCAGCAGCCGCGGUAAUACGUAGGUCCCGAGCGUUGUCCGGAUUUAUUGGGCGUAAAGCGAGCGCAGGCGGUUUGAUAAGUCUGAAGUUAAAGGCUGUGGCUCAACCAUAGUUCGCUUUGGAAACUGUCAAACUUGAGUGCAGAAGGGGAGAGUGGAAUUCCAUGUGUAGCGGUGAAAUGCGUAGAUAUAUGGAGGAACACCGGUGGCGAAAGCGGCUCUCUGGUCUGUAACUGACGCUGAGGCUCGAAAGCGUGGGGAGCGAACAGGAUUAGAUACCCUGGUAGUCCACGCCGUAACGAUGAGUGCUAGGUGUUGGGUCCUUUCCGGGAUUCAGUGCCGCAGCUAACGCAUUAAGCACUCCGCCUGGGGAGUACGACCGCAAGGUU